CACACCGCCCGUCACACCAUGAGAGUGGGUUCCACCAGAAGUAGUUAGCCUAACCGCAAGGAGGGCGACUACCACGGUGAGAUUCAUGACUGGGGUG
Molecule: ribosomal RNA, 97 nt
Filed under: uncultured bacterium
Lineage: Bacteria
Description: partial 16S ribosomal RNA
Rfam family: Bacterial small subunit ribosomal RNA
Source: RNAcentral